AUGGGUAAGAGGUUAGGGUUUCAGACUUGUAGUCCAAAGGAUGCCGGUUUGACUUCCGACCCAACAUGUUGGUGGGGGAAUGUAGUCAACCAGUGUUCUCCCCCAUCCUCCUCCAUGACUGAGGUACCCUGAUCAUGGUACCGUCCCGCCGCACUGCUCCCUAGGGGCGCCAUUCAGGGCUGCCCCCUUGCAGGGUUGAGGCAUAAUUGCAAUUUCGUUGUGUGCAGUGUUCACUUGUGUGCUGUGGAGUGCUGUGUCACAAUGACAAUGGGAGUUGGAGUUUCCCAGUUGGGCUUCAUAAUCUGCAUCUCAAUACUGGAUUUUCAUUGAAGAUUAUCAUUCAUCCAGGUCAUUUUAGUCGAAAGAUUAUAGUUGUAUGUCACUGAACUUCUUUUUGAAGUUUCAUUUGUCUUUUUUGUUUUGUUUUGUUUUGUUUUUUUACUUUAUUUAUGCCCCGGGGCACGAACGUGUGACCUCGUCAACUACAACGGUCCGGCAAUGGGAGACACAGUACGAUACCGCUGGACCAAGAGACCAGUCUCCCGGUCCAACGACAUCGACACUGUAUGAGGCUUUAGGAGGGAGGUUUACCAACGUUCCACGACAACUCUGCUGGUGGAAACCAAGGGCUAUGUGCAGUAUAACCUGUUUAGCAGCAUGCAGGUGGAGAACAUCAUCGAGCCGUAGUGCAGCAUUGUCGAUGUCUUCAGGUGGAGCAACAUGGAGAAGAUCCUGCAGAUGCCACCACAGUCCUCUGAAGCUGCACUGAAGAAGAUGCCCAUCCUGAGCUCAGAAGGAUUAAAAAAAACUGCCAUAAAAUGUAUCCAAUCAGCCAAUCAGUAGUCAAGACAGGUGAAUCAGCUCCUCAGUGAAUUUACCUUUGUUAGAAUGAAAACAUGGCAGAUUUGUGAUAUCCAUUU
Long non-coding RNA from Engraulis encrasicolus (European anchovy), 920 nucleotides. RefSeq lists it as uncharacterized. NCBI's taxonomy places the organism in Eukaryota, Metazoa, Chordata, Actinopteri, Clupeiformes, Engraulidae. The record is from RefSeq and is a predicted model, not a curated record. The transcript is spliced from 3 exons.